UCUACAAAAACGGUAGAAAAACCCAGGUUUGGUGCGGGGAGUGGGGGCAUUGUAAUUACGUCUCCAAAUGCUAACAGCUGUGGCAGCGCAUGCUCUCUUAGCCUCUGAAGAGGUCUCUGGGCGCUCACACUUGAAAAACCAUGAGGUUGGAACAAUCAUGUUAAUGCGCCUUUUUGGUUUUGGUGAAAAUUUCAGACAGUGUGACAUUAAUUAUUUGUCUUUGCACAGAAUGAUGAUGCUAAAGCCAGCCCCAUACAGUCCUGAUGCUCAGUACUUCCAGCAUGGGCUCUGUCCACCCUGCUCUCUGGGUCUACAUCCAGCCCUUCAGUUUUCACUAGGCAAAUCUGAGGUGAGUCAACUGAGUUUGCAAAAUGUGCUUAUUAGCAGGUGUGGGAUGUUCUACUACCUUCUUCAGAGCCACAGCAUUCCUGUUCCUUCCCACAUCAUUUCACUAAGGGUCUGACCAACUCAUCUCCCAACCAUUCAAGACACAGGAGAAUUAACUGCAGGCCUUC
Molecule: long non-coding RNA, 515 nt
Filed under: Homo sapiens (human)
Lineage: Eukaryota; Metazoa; Chordata; Mammalia; Primates; Hominidae
Description: non-protein coding lnc-ALDH1B1-3:1
Source: RNAcentral